UUUUCGACCUGAACUCAGACGUGGAUACCCGCUGACUUUAAGCAUAAA
Molecule: ribosomal RNA, 48 nt
Filed under: Trichotylenchus changlingensis
Lineage: Eukaryota; Metazoa; Nematoda; Chromadorea; Rhabditida; Telotylenchidae
Description: partial large subunit ribosomal RNA
Source: RNAcentral